This 253-nucleotide ribosomal RNA is filed under the name uncultured bacterium. Its description in RNAcentral is "partial 16S ribosomal RNA". It matches the Rfam family "Bacterial small subunit ribosomal RNA", at positions 524 to 776 of the family's 1533-position model. The record is from RNAcentral.
UACGUAGGGGGCAAGCGUUGUCCGGAUUUACUGGGCGUAAAGAGCGCGUAGGCGGAAGCUUAAGCGGUGCCUGAAAGCCCCCGGCUCAACCGGGGAGGGUGGUGCCGAACUGGGCUUCUUGAGGGCGAUAGAGGAGAGUGGAAUUCCGGGUGUAGCGGUGAAAUGCGUAGAGAUCCGGAGGAACACCAGUGGCGCAGGCGGCUCUCUGGGACGGUACUGACGCUGAGACGCGAAGGCGUGGGGAGCGAACAGG